AACAGGCAAUGGGCGUUUGUUCAGAGCUUGCUGUAGCAAGGCAGUGGACCACAUCACCUGUGUUUCAGCAGAGACCCAAAGGUAGGUAGAGGAGUAGGGAAGCUUUUUAGUGGAAAAUGGGGAAGGUUCCAGUGUGCCCUGACUGGAGGCUAUCAGCCUGGGGAAGCUGUAGGCAGGGCAACUAGAAGCUGGGCAUUUUAUGUGGUUGGUUAGCUAUGUAUUUGACUUCCUCUGGUUGGUUCUAAGUUGGAAGUAGGGACAAAAAUUAGGGAAGCUAUCAGUUACUAAUCAAGCCCUGGAGGUUUGGGGCCAAUUGUUACAGAAGUUUUUGUUAGGCUUCCUAGACUGUGUGGCCUGACUUCCUACAAGUCUGACUUACAUAUAGCAGGCUGGCAUUCUGGGCUGGUUUCUGUAGAUCAUGGGUUGACAUCCUAGACCGGGUGCUUCAGACUGUGGGCCAGAAUUCUGUUUUUCACAUGCGGUUUGGCAAUUGUUCAUUUGUAUAUUCAGGAUGAAGCUCACAUAAUGGCCAAGUGAAUUACUGACAUCAGUGGGAAUGGAGAAGAAGGAAUUAAAAGGACAGGAUUUGGCAACAGGUGGCGGUGAGGAAGUCUUCACAGACCAGAAGAGUGGUGAAAACUCUUUUGCUACCAGACUGCCUGCAGACUUAGUUCUUCGCUUUCUUGUGAACUUUCUUCUGCAUCUGUCCUUUGGCCCACAGUGGAAGACAGGAGAAAGAAGUGGACGUAAGACUCAGGCAAACCUAUUUUGUGAGUUGCUAUGAACGGAGUAUUUGUGUCCCUCCAAGAUGUGUACGUUGAAAUCCUCGCCACCCAGGUGAGGAUUUUAGGAGAUGAGCCGCUGGGAGGUGAUCGGGUGGGGAGAGUAGAGCCCUCAUGAACGGGAUGAGUGUCCUUACAGAAGGAGCCCCCAGAAGGGCCCUUCCUCCCUUCCUGCGGUCCCUCCUUCCAGGUUACAGUGAAAAGAUGGGCUCUCUCUGGACAACAAACUGGCCGAAUUUGCUAGCAACUGGGACUUGGACCUCCCAGCUUCCAAACUGAGAAAUGAGUUUCCAGGGUUAGCAUGCCACCCAGUCUCUGGCAGUUGGCUACAUCGGCCUGGAGAGACGAGGCGUUGAGAAGAGCUCUGGGGCAGACAUGAUGGAGGCGGUGAACGCCACUGUCACUGCUAAGUUUCCUGGGCUCCCGGAGUCCUGCAUUCCCGGUCCCUCCAGCCUACACACAGGGAGUCCCACAUGGGGACAGUGGAGUCCAGUGAGGGCCACGGCUUCAAUAGACUUUCUAUGACACGGGGUCAGCCAAGCUUGACUUCAAGAGCAGGAGUUUCUGACGUAGUCUGAUUGCCCGUUGAAAUUCAGAAGAAAGUUUAAGCAUUGUGAAAGCGAUGGCAUAUGACCUGAUUCCACAAAAUAAAUACUAACACCUGACAGUUGCUCUGACUAUU
RNAcentral lists this long non-coding RNA (1464 nucleotides) under Sus scrofa (pig). Its description in RNAcentral is "lncRNA (ENSSSCG00040062612.1)". The record is from RNAcentral. Lineage: Eukaryota; Metazoa; Chordata; Mammalia; Artiodactyla; Suidae.